RNAcentral lists this ribosomal RNA (796 nucleotides) under Leuconostoc mesenteroides. Its description in RNAcentral is "bacterial SSU rRNA". It matches the Rfam family "Bacterial small subunit ribosomal RNA", at positions 78 to 859 of the family's 1533-position model. The record is from RNAcentral. Lineage: Bacteria; Bacillati; Bacillota; Bacilli; Lactobacillales; Lactobacillaceae.
GCUUGCACCUUUCAAGUGAGUGGCGAACGGGUGAGUAACACGUGGACAACCUGCCUCAAGGCUGGGGAUAACAUUUGGAAACAGAUGCUAAUACCGAAUAAAACUUAGUGUCGCAUGACAAAAAGUUAAAAGGCGCUUCGGCGUCACCUAGAGAUGGAUCCGCGGUGCAUUAGUUAGUUGGUGGGGUAAAGGCCUACCAAGACAAUGAUGCAUAGCCGAGUUGAGAGACUGAUCGGCCACAUUGGGACUGAGACACGGCCCAAACUCCUACGGGAGGCUGCAGUAGGGAAUCUUCCACAAUGGGCGAAAGCCUGAUGGAGCAACGCCGCGUGUGUGAUGAAGGCUUUCGGGUCGUAAAGCACUGUUGUAUGGGAAGAACAGCUAGAAUAGGAAAUGAUUUUAGUUUGACGGUACCAUACCAGAAAGGGACGGCUAAAUACGUGCCAGCAGCCGCGGUAAUACGUAUGUCCCGAGCGUUAUCCGGAUUUAUUGGGCGUAAAGCGAGCGCAGACGGUUUAUUAAGUCUGAUGUGAAAGCCCGGAGCUCAACUCCGGAAUGGCAUUGGAAACUGGUUAACUUGAGUGCAGUAGAGGUAAGUGGAACUCCAUGUGUAGCGGUGGAAUGCGUAGAUAUAUGGAAGAACACCAGUGGCGAAGGCGGCUUACUGGACUGCAACUGACGUUGAGGCUCGAAAGUGUGGGUAGCAAACAGGAUUAGAUACCCUGGUAGUCCACACCGUAAACGAUGAACACUAGGUGUUAGGAGGUUUCCGCCUCUUAGUGCCGAAGCUAACGCA